AGCGAACGCUGGCGGCAUGCCUAACACAUGCAAGUCGCACGGGGGGGCUUCGGCCUCCCAGUGGCGGACGGGUGAGGAACGCGUAGGGACCUGUCGAGGGGUGGGGGAUAACCGCGGGAAACUGCGGCUAAUACCGCAUGACGCCGCGGCGUGACAGCCGGGGCCAAAGGCGAAAGCCGCCCGCCGAGGGGCCUGCGUCCGAUUAGCUGGUUGGCGGGGUAGCGGCCCACCAAGGCGUCGAUCGGUAGCUGGUCUGAGAGGGUGAUCAGCCACACCGGGACUGGGACACGGCCCGGACUCCUACGGGAGGCAGCAGUGGGGAAUAGUGGACAAUGGGCGCAAGCCUGAUCCAGCAAUGCCGCGUGGGUGAAGAAGGUAUUCGGAUUGUAAAGCCCUUUCGGCGGGGACGAUGGUGACGGUACCCGCAGAAGAAGCCCCGGCUAACUUCGUG
This 451-nucleotide ribosomal RNA is filed under the name uncultured bacterium. RNAcentral's name for it is "partial 16S ribosomal RNA". It matches the Rfam family "Bacterial small subunit ribosomal RNA", at positions 28 to 507 of the family's 1533-position model. The record is from RNAcentral.